UGGGGAAUUUUGGACAAUGGGGGAAACCCUGAUCCAGCCAUCCCGCGUGUGCGAUGAAGGCCUUCGGGUUGUAAAGCACUUUUGGCAGGAAAGAAACGUCAUGGGUUAAUACCCCGUGAAACUGACGGUACCUGCAGAAUAAGCACCGGCUAACUACGUGCCAGCAGCCGCGGUAAUACGUAGGGUGCAAGCGUUAAUCGGAAUUACUGGGCGUAAAGCGUGCGCAGGCGGUUCGGAAAGAAAGAUGUGAAAUCCCAGAGCUCAACUUUGGAACUGCAUUUUUAACUACCGGGCUAGAGUGUGGCAGAGGGAGGUGGAAUUCCGCGUGUAGCAGUGAAAUGCGUAGAUAUGCGGAGGAACACCGAAGGCGAAGGCAGCCUCCUGGGAUAACACUGACGCUCAUGCACGAAAGCGUGGGGAGCAAACAGG
Molecule: ribosomal RNA, 429 nt
Filed under: Acidobacteriota bacterium
Lineage: Bacteria; Pseudomonadati; Acidobacteriota
Description: Acidobacteria bacterium partial 16S ribosomal RNA
Rfam family: Bacterial small subunit ribosomal RNA
Source: RNAcentral